AACGAACGCUGGCGGCAGGCCUAACACAUGCAAGUCGAGCGAGGACUGCGGUCCUAGCGGCGGACGGGGGAUUAACGCGUGGGAACGUGCCCUUUGCUUCCGUACAUCCCAGGGAAACUGGGAGUAAUACCGGGUUAGCUCAUACGGGGUAAGAUUUAUCGGCGAAGGAUAGGUCCGCAUUGGAUUAGGUAGCUGGUGUGGUAAUGGACUAUCAAGCCGACGAGCCAUAGCUGGUAUGAGCGGAUGAUCAGCCACACUGGGACUGAGACACGGCCCAGACUCCUACGGGAGGCAGCAGUGGGGAAUCUUAGACAAUGGGGGAGACACUGAUCUAGCCAUGCCGCGUGAGCGAUGAAGGCCUUAGGAUUGUGAAGCUCUUUCAGCUGGGAAGAUAAUGACGGUACCAGCAGAAGAAGCCCCGGCUAACUCCGUG
RNAcentral lists this ribosomal RNA (433 nucleotides) under uncultured bacterium. RNAcentral describes it as "partial 16S ribosomal RNA". It matches the Rfam family "Bacterial small subunit ribosomal RNA", at positions 29 to 507 of the family's 1533-position model. The record is from RNAcentral.